Molecule: ribosomal RNA, 498 nt
Filed under: uncultured bacterium
Lineage: Bacteria
Description: bacterial SSU rRNA
Rfam family: Bacterial small subunit ribosomal RNA
Source: RNAcentral
ACUCAAAGGAAUAGACGGGGGCCCGCACAAGCAGUGGAUCAUGUGGUUUAAUUCGACGAUACGCGAAAAACCUUACCAGAACUUGACAUCUGGGGAAUUCUGUAGAAGUACGGAAGUGCCCGCAAGGGAACCCCAAGACAGGUGGUGCAUGGUUGUCGUCAGCUCGUGUCGUGAGAUGUUAGGUUAAGUCCUGCAACGAGCGCAACCCUCGUAUUGUGUUGCUACAUUUAGUUGAGCACUCUCAAUAGACUGCCCGUGGUAAACGGGAGGAAGGUGGGGAUGACGUCAAAUCAUCAUGCCCUUUAUGUUCUGGGCUACACACAUGAUACAAUGGCAAGUACAAAGGGAUGCCAAUCCGCAAGGUGGAGCAAAUCUCAAAAAACUUGCCUCAGUUCGGAUUGUAGGCUGCAACUCGCCUGCAUGAAGAUGGAAUUGCUAGUAAACGCAGAUCAGCACGCUGCGUUGAAUACGUUCCCGGGCCUUGUACACACCGCCCGU